This 74-nucleotide transfer RNA is filed under the name Nanobdellota archaeon. RNAcentral describes it as "tRNA-Thr". It matches the Rfam family "tRNA". From Rfam's summary of the family: Transfer RNA (tRNA) molecules are approximately 80 nucleotides in length. Their secondary structure includes four short double-helical elements and three loops (D, anti-codon, and T loops). Lineage: Archaea; Nanobdellati; Nanobdellota. The record is from RNAcentral.
GCCUCAGUGGCUUAGCCUGGUAGAGCACCGCAUUGGUAAUGCGGAGGUCGGGGGUUCAAUUCCCCUCUGAGGCU